Molecule: long non-coding RNA, 1837 nt
Organism: Mytilus trossulus (common blue mussel)
Lineage: Eukaryota; Metazoa; Mollusca; Bivalvia; Mytilida; Mytilidae
Exons: 2
Source: RefSeq, a predicted model, not a curated record
CGAACACGAAAAACUGUCAAGGGCUUAAUUUAUGUUGACUGCUAUGAAAGACCAUGUCGAUUCACAACAAUACAUUAUUUAUCUUAAUUGAACUGCGUCACACAGGUAAUUUUAGGAAUAAUUUUGACGUUCAUUGUAUAUGACCUCAAAAGAUUAUGAAGAACCGUUGAGCUCUAGAUAAAGGAUUUCAUUUAUCUUUAAUUUGAGACAUAAAUAUAUCUCUGGGUCUGAAUUAUUUUAUUAUUUAUAACCGAUAUACCACUAAUUCAACAUAUUGAUACAUUUAAUCAGCUAAACACAUUCAUAACCAUAUGAACAUUCAUAACCAUAUGAAUUGGUUAAGCUUCUUUAACAACAAUACAUAAUUUAUCUUCACUGAACUUUGUACUCGCGUCACACAGGUAUUCUUUAAGAAUAAUUUUGACGUUCAUUGUUUAUGACCUCAAUUACUUUUUGUGUCAUAUUUGAGUCAUUCCUUCCAAGCCUAUUUGCAUGUAUAUCUGUUUCAAAACUAAUGAUUAAUUGUAAAUAUAUGGUGAAAAGCUGAAAAAAAACUUUAUUUAAGCUGACUUCCAAAGCCAUGUCGAUUCACAGGUAAUUUACUUAAUUGAACUUUUUACACGGCGUCACACAGGUGUACAAAAAAUUAUUUUCCCGUUUAAAGUAUACAAUUAUGAUGUAUCAUAAAUUGAGUUGUAGUGAAUUUAAAUUGUUUCUUAUGUCUGUAUAAUCCAGUUUAUUAGAACAAAUUUAUAAAAGCAGCUCUGGGGGAGGAUUUCAGACUCAAGGUUUAUCUAACUGCAGGUUUUUCUCUUGAAGGCGAAUCAGGCACAUUCCCGACCAAGUUUCUGUGGAAAAACAAAACAUUGUCAGUAGUGCUGCUAACCCAAUUGAAAGACUCCAAAAGGAAGAGCGAAUGCGCAGGGACAAUGAUUUCGUCAAAUUCUUAAGAUUAUAUGAAAAUAAUAACUAUGAUUUCCUGUGGCAAUAUGCAAAAAUUAGUGGCAGACUUUUAACCGCUAAACAUAUAGCCAAACUACACAAUGGUUUCAAAAUCGGAUGAGAGCUUCACAGACCUUUUGCUUGGCAACCAUGAAGAUCUCUGUGACAUUUUAAUACCGGAACAUCGUUUGGAAGUCCUUAACGAGGGAUUUUCCUUCCUAAAAUACUGUAGACUAAAUACUUUUCCAUUCAAAAUAUUAAGUUAUUGACAUUUCUAAUUAUGUGAUUUUAAACUUUUCUUAUUGUAUAUAAUAUUAGUAUUUUGUCUUAUGUCAAUCUCCUAUAGGAGGAAAUAAAGUAUGAUGAUGAUAUAUUUUGUCAAUCAAGGACGCCUUAAGGAGCAGUAUAAUUACAAACAAUUAAUUACAAUGAUUAUUAUUUAUUCUUAAUGAUAUACAAAUGACAAAAUAUAGAAUAAAGAAAAUAAACACAAAAGCAAAAUUAAUACCGCAGAUAUAAUAGCGGCAUAUAUCUUAUCAGUCAAUAUCAAGUAGGAUUUAAACAAAAUUGUAGUACUGCUGAUCGCAUACUUUUUUUUAAAAUCAUUAUUGAUCACUAUAAAAGUAAAAAAAGAAGAAAGUAUUUGAUGCUUUCAUAGACCUGCGUAAAGCCUUUGAUACGAUGUGGAGAUUAGGCUUAUUUUUUAAACUUUAAAAAUCAGGUUUAUCCUAAAAGUUUCUUAAUAUUUUUCUGCAAUGUAUGAAAAUACUACCACUACAAUUAAAUUUUCAAAUGGUCUUAGUACUACAUUCACUUCAGAGCGAGGUGUUAAUCAAGGGGAUUGUUUUUUUUCAGAUGAAUUCUGACCAACAAUCAAUAAAUAAUAUACAAUCAU